GGAGGAUGCGAGCGUUAUCCGGAUUUAUUGGGUUUAAAGGGUGCGUAGGUGGUCUUUUAAGUCAGCGGUGAAAGUUUGUGGCUCAACCAUACAGUUGCCGUUGAUACUGGUUGCCUUGAGUACAGUUGAGGCAGGCGGAAUGUGAUGUGUAGCGGUGAAAUGCUUAGAUAUGUCACAGAACCCCGAUUGCGAAGGCAGCUUGCCAAGCUGUAACUGACGCUGAGGCACGAAAGCGUGGGUAUC
RNAcentral lists this ribosomal RNA (243 nucleotides) under uncultured bacterium. RNAcentral's name for it is "partial 16S ribosomal RNA". It matches the Rfam family "Bacterial small subunit ribosomal RNA", at positions 527 to 769 of the family's 1533-position model. The record is from RNAcentral.